ACCAGCUUUUAAAAAAAAAACAAGAGAAAAAGCUCUCCUCUUCUCUCUGGGCCGACCCAGAUCUCGGCCAGGAGGGCCACUGCGCGCCGUCGUUGUUCCGUCGCCGCCGGCCACCGUGGAUGGUGGCCGGAACCUCAAAAAAGGUGCAGAGGGCGGUGGAGGUGACUGGUGGGGCGGUGCUGCAGGGUCGUCAGAGGCAAGUGGGGAGGUGGCAAUAGUUAGGUUUAGGGUUUCUCUUUUUUUUUUUAUUUGGGCUUAAGGUUUGUAGUUGGGCUAGGGGUUUUGGGCAUUGUUGAGUGGGCCAAAAUUGGACCUCAACAAUAAUGAUAAUAUAAAAAAUAUAGCAAUAAUAAAAUGAUGAUAUUAAUACAUAAA
Gossypium arboreum is the source of this 375-nucleotide long non-coding RNA. RefSeq lists it as uncharacterized. The transcript is spliced from 2 exons. The record is from RefSeq and is a predicted model, not a curated record. NCBI's taxonomy places the organism in Eukaryota, Viridiplantae, Streptophyta, Magnoliopsida, Malvales, Malvaceae.